CACGUAGGGGGCAAGCGUUGUCCGGAUUUAUUGGGCGUAAAGAGCUCGUAGGCGGUUCGGUAAGUUGGGUGUGAAACCUCCAGGCUCAACCUGGAGACGCCACCCGAUACUGCUGUGACUAGAGUCCGGUAGGGGAGCGUGGAAUUCCUGGUGUAGCGGUGAAAUGCGCAGAUAUCAGGAGGAACACUAGCGGCGAAGGCGGCGCUCUGGGCCGGAACUGACGCUGAGGAGCGAAAGCGUGGGUAGCAAACAGG
This 254-nucleotide ribosomal RNA is filed under the name uncultured bacterium. RNAcentral's name for it is "partial 16S ribosomal RNA". It matches the Rfam family "Bacterial small subunit ribosomal RNA", at positions 524 to 776 of the family's 1533-position model. The record is from RNAcentral.